AUUGAACGCUGGCGGCAGGCUAACACAUGCAAGUCGAGCGGAUGAAGGGAGCUUGCUCCUGGAUUCAGCGGCGGACGGGUGAGUAAUGCCUAGGAAUCUGCCUGGUAGUGGGGGAUAACGUCCGGAAACGGGCGCUAAUACCGCAUACGUCCUGAGGGAGAAAGUGGGGGAUCUUCGGACCUCACGCUAUCAGAUGAGCCUAGGUCGGAUUAGCUGGUUGGUGGGGUAAAGGCCUACCAAGGCGACGAUCCGUAACUGGUCUGAGAGGAUGAUCAGUCACACUGGAACUGAGACACGGUCCAGACUCCUACGGGAGGCAGCAGUGGGGAAUAUUGGACAAUGGGCGAAAGCCUGAUCCAGCCAUGCCGCGUGUGUGAAGAAGGUCUUCGGAUUGUAAAGCACUUUAAGUUGGGAGGAAGGGCAGUAAGUUAAUACCUUGCUGUUUUGACGUUACCAGCAGAAUAAGCACCGGCUAACUUCGUGCCAGCAGCCGCGGUAAUACGAAGGGUGCAAGCGUUAAUCGGAAUUACUGGGCGUAAAGCGCGCGUAGGUGGUUCAGCAAGUUGGAUGUGAAAUCCCCGGGCUCAACCUGGGAACUGCAUCCAAAACUACUGAGCUAGAGUACGGUAGAGGGUGGUGGAAUUUCCUGUGUAGCGGUGAAAUGCGUAGAUAUAGGAAGGAACACCAGUGGCGAAGGCGACCACCUGGACUGAUACUGACACUGAGGUGCGAAAGCGUGGGGAGCAAACAGG
RNAcentral lists this ribosomal RNA (752 nucleotides) under uncultured Pseudomonas sp. RNAcentral's name for it is "bacterial SSU rRNA". It matches the Rfam family "Bacterial small subunit ribosomal RNA", at positions 28 to 776 of the family's 1533-position model. Lineage: Bacteria; Pseudomonadati; Pseudomonadota; Gammaproteobacteria; Pseudomonadales; Pseudomonadaceae. The record is from RNAcentral.